GCUGGUCCGCCAGGCUGCAGCAGGUGAUGCGGCUCAAGGCCCUUGCUGGGCACCAUCUGCAGGCGUUGAUUGCUCUGCGUCUCCUUGGUUCACGCAUGAAAAUAUGGAUGACUCCGAUCUGGAUGAUUGAGCAAUGAUGUGGUGAUUGCUGCAGGUGGUAUUUGCAAUCUUGAAGUAUAUCGAUGCAAAUGGAUGGUCGCUCCUUUCUACAAAGUUUCAACUAUGCUUUGUGACUUUCGUGCAUGGUCUAGAUCAAAACUAAUGGCUUGUUUGCCUAAGAUCUUAUUUGGCAUUAUGUUUAGUUAACGAUUUCUUAUAGACUUAUGUAAUGUUGAAGUGUCGAUGUGAUGGUGUUAUUCUCCACCA
Long non-coding RNA from Lolium rigidum, 366 nucleotides. RefSeq lists it as uncharacterized. The transcript has 3 exons. Lineage: Eukaryota; Viridiplantae; Streptophyta; Magnoliopsida; Poales; Poaceae. The record is from RefSeq and is a predicted model, not a curated record.